RNAcentral lists this long non-coding RNA (321 nucleotides) under Oryza sativa aromatic subgroup. RNAcentral describes it as "lncRNA OsARC_10g0009750". RNAcentral also lists the same sequence under 1 other name. Lineage: Eukaryota; Viridiplantae; Streptophyta; Magnoliopsida; Poales; Poaceae. The record is from RNAcentral.
AUGCCCAGCUCGCGCAGCUGCAGCAGGAGCGUGUCCACGCUCGGCGUGCCAUCGGCGUCGUGGACAGUGGUCGGCACGGGCGCGGUGACCCUCGUCGUCUUCGCCGACGUCGUGGUAGCACUUGACGUCGUAGCUCAUACGCAUAUACGCCGGGUACAGAUGGCCGCAUGGGUGCAGCGGAAGGCGAGCGCGGCGGAGAAGCGGCGACGGGCGAGCGCAGCGGUGGGCAAAGCAGCGGAGGGCAAGCUAGGCGAAGCGGAAGACAGUGGAUGGGACGAGGAGCUCCCCCGUGCUCGGCCGCCACCACCGCCGUGCCCCCGC